AAGCCGUUAAAGGCAGUUGAGGAUGAACUACCAGUGUGUGGAAAGGUGUAAAACCUUUUCGAUCCAUAGAAGCAGUCAAAAAUUACUUCAGUCCCUCAGCGUUAAGGUUUAGGAACAAUGUUCAUUUCGCAUUACCACCUGAAAAUUAUCUCAUCGUGACUUCUCGUGGCAAUGUGUGCAUGGGGAUUCUGAAUGCUGGCGAAAUAAAUUUGGAACAUCCGAAUAUCAUUGGAGGUAAGAAAUGCUAAAGAACAAAAACCCAAAUACACAAAUUUUGUUUGUGCAAGAGUUGAUUUGAUUUGAGUUAACCUCUAUUACUUUUACAGACAUUUCUAUGACAAGGUGGUGGUUUAUGACAAUGAGAGAAGGAUGAUUGGAUGGGCUUCUUCGAAUUGCGAUAGGCGAUUUUGAACUUUUUUCUUAGCAUUGUCAUGCAAUUGAAGAUUCUUGAGAAGAGACUGGAGGAACAAAGGCUGAAAGGUAGAUAAUGUAACUGGUGUCACGCAUGGAUUUUCACCAGGAUAUCAUACAAUAGCAUGA
This is a long non-coding RNA of Cornus florida, 540 nucleotides long. RefSeq lists it as uncharacterized. The record is from RefSeq and is a predicted model, not a curated record. The transcript is spliced from 3 exons. Lineage: Eukaryota; Viridiplantae; Streptophyta; Magnoliopsida; Cornales; Cornaceae.